CUCACUCCCGUGCUCUUCAUUUCGUCCGAGCUUCUUACCUCCUUGCAAUCGAGCCACAAGCAGUUCCCACCAAACUCACCCAGCCAUCGCACACCGCCAUCCAUCUUGCUUUUCGCUCCACUACGCACGCAUCCGCGCCACCAUCUCUUCUGGUCACGGAGGCUGAGCUGCGGCUUUCGAGUUGAGAGGAAAACAAAGAAGAAAGAGAUCGCAAUCGAAUCGAAGGAUCAUCACCACUCCACACGAGAGCAUCAAGAAAUAAAAGCGAAUACCUCACACAAGAGGUCGCCGUCGCCACUCCCUCUUUCCUCACACGCGUGGCCCCACUCACUCGUUGUCCCUCUGCUCGCCCUCUCCGUUGCAGAUCAUUACAGGUCACUGCGAGGAGCAGCUAUUGUGUGCCUUGUGGAAGCGGCAGCUGCAGCAUCGCUCCCUCUCCCCAUCACCACCACCUACUCACGAGGCGGUAACUGACUUCAAACCCUGUCUUGCGUGCAACACGCACGGUCUACCCCUCCGACAUUUUACUCCCUUCCUCUGCUUCCUUUCGUUUUCUUUUUGCUGUCGUUGGCGUGUUCUCUUGAGGGGUGAUGGUGGUGGUCUGAGCUGCGAGAAACGCGCACACAAUUUUUCACUGUUGACUCUCUCUCGUUACGUGUGUGUGGUGUCUUGACGCGCAUUCAUCGCCGCCUCUUUGUUGUUGUUCGUGUUUGUUUGCCUCAAGCCUUCUGUAAUAUCUUCCUCCCCCCUCCCCACUAUCCAUCACGCCAUUCUCUGCUCUUUCAAGGUCUGGUCUCCUUGUCAUCUCCGUGAAUACGCCCUGUCCCUGUCUCCCCUUUACUCGCGUUUGUGUCUUUCGUGUCCUCACUUGUCUUCUUCGUUUUUCGCUGUUUGCUUGUCAUCACUCUGCGUGUCCUUCCCUUUCCUCCCUGCUCACACUUGUCUCCCCUCCCCCCUCGAUUGGUUUUCUCUCACAGACAGACAGCCACAGACGCCCGCUUUGGCCUUUCCCAUCACACACACGCACACACACUUCAACUCCACCUUCUGCAUCUCUCACGUUCUUAACAUUUCAAACGAAACCGCAAACACAAGCUUGACAAAAAAAAAUUUCAACAGACCACAAGGCACUGCUCUUUUUUUUUUUAGGUGUGCUCUGUCAACUGAUCGCCUGUGUGCUCCUUUUCUUUGGUGUUGUUUUCUUUUAGGGUCACGCACGCGCGCAAGCAAACAGAGAAGUUUUUCUUUUAGCGAUUCUGCAGACACCUGCGUGCGCUCAUCCACACGCGCACACGUCUAAGCAGAAGCACACCAACGCGUUCGCAGACACGCCAUCACCGUUUUCACGCUCCCCAGACUCCCCCCUUCACUCUCUCCCUCCUCCUUGAUUGCUUCCUUUUUUUUGCCCUAAGCCAGCACCUAGGUAGAACGAAUAUUUUGAAAAAAAAUAUAUACAAGACACACUCACGCAGACAGGCGCAGACUCGCAUCGCGCCUUUUUCACAAACAUUCCCUGGACUGUGUCAUUUUGUGUGCGCGUGCGUUUGUGUGUGUGUGUGUGUGUGUGUGUGUGUGUGUGUGUGUGUGUGUGUGUGUGUGUGUGUGUGUGCGUGCGUAUUUCUUUUUUUUUUCUCAUCAUUUUAGAUUGAUUUCCUCUGCUCGUGUUGUCUCUCGUUCACCGACUUGUCUUCGCACCCAUUCUCUUCUUGUUUGUUUGUUUGUUUGUUUUUUCGGAUUUGCCUCUCUCUAUCUCUUUUUGUCCGUCCCGGAGCCCAGAAUCUCCUCUUUUUUGUUACGGGUUUUGUUGUACCUGUUGUGCAUUCGCUUAGUGUAGUGUACAUCUUCAUAUGCAUCUUCAUAUACAUCUAUCGUUGCACUUCCCCCCCCCCACCUGCCCCCGCCCCGCCCUGCCUCUCCUCUCUCUCUCUGUUUUGGUCUUGCGUGUGGGCGUGCGUUUUUCGUUCUACAUAGACGAACAUCUGUUGUUCUCUCUUUUGCAUGUAAAUAUAUAUAUAUAUGUAUAUGUAUAUGCAUAUGCAUAGGCAUAUGUGUGUGUCGGUGUGCUCUUUGGAUUGCUCUUUCUUGUGUGGCUGCCCUCCUUUGAAUUGUUGCAUCGUGUCUCCUUUCUUGCGCUGAGUGUGCUGCGUGUGUGGUUUCCUUUUGUGUCCUUCUCUGUCUCCCUCUCCGCUCAUCAAAGCCCCUACUUCUCUCGCUGUGUCGGCGUCGCUGCGCUCCUUUAACAGAACGCGUAAGCGCACUGGGGCUUGUGUGUGAGAGAGCUCUUUAUCACUCCCAACAGGGCCUGAUCUGUGAGGGGUGCCCCUCCUCCUUAUCGCCUCUUCUCCCCUUCUACUCCUUUGCCGUCGUUGCUUGCUUGCACAUUAAGGAGUGCUGCAAGUCUGUGCGUGAGAGAGUUACAGGCUCCGUGGAUGUGCUUGCGACGCCGGCGAGGGCUUUUGGCGGUUAUCUGCUCUUUGAAGGGGGUCGCCAACGGCAGCUUCCAUUGAGUCUCUUCCUUUUCUUUCGCGUUCGCCUUUCUUCUUUUUCUUUGCGUGUGUGCCUUUGUGGUUGCUCUUAAUUUCCGUUAGUCGACCCGUGUUGAUUCCUCGUUUCGUUACAUGUAUAUAGAUAUAUAUGUAUGGAUAUGUGUGAUUUCUACACGCCUUUUUUUCCAGGUAUCUCUCAAUCGCAUUCUUCUCCUUUCUUCCUCCCCUUCCCCUCCCUGCUGCUUUCGCCUUCUCUGUUGUGUUGUUCUCGUCGUUUCUACGUGUCUCUGUCGUGUUGUUCGUGAUUGUAUAUGGUGCGUGUCUCGUCCACCUCUCUCUUCCAGCACGUUUAGCUCUUUCGCGUGUGUGCGCUGACGCUGCAAAACGGUCAGCAACGUACAUCACAGCACAGAGAAAAAAAAGGAAGCGUGAUCCCCACUCGUGCGGUUUUCCUUUCUCGCUCCGUUUUCUCUACACCCUUUACGCACCCCACCAACACUGCCUCUCCAAGCCUUUGCCUUUUCGAGCCAGUUCGCCGGGCAAAACCUCCCUGCUCAGAACUUUGCCAUUUUCGUUGGCAAACCUAAAAAAAAAAAGAGAAGCAAAAGCGGAGAGAGAGUUGCACCAGACCUGCUCGUCUUUCCCUCCCUUCACACUGGCAAGCGCGCACUCACGCACGUACACUCGCGCUUCGUUUCUUUUUUCUUUUCGUCGAUUUCUAUCUCGGUUACCGUCGGACAACGUGCAAGCCUCCGCACGUGUGAGCGUCUCCUGUGCUCAUCUAUGUGUGGGUCACCACCCUCUCUCCCCGCGCUCCCAAUUUCUUUGCUGUUCUCUCUCUCCUGUCUACGGUAUAGGCACGUGUGCGUAUGUUAAUUCGCUCGUGAUUUUAUCGCCAAACGCUUUCUGUGAACGCUCUUCCCGGUCUGCCUGCCUGCCCGCCUGUCUCUCUCUGUCUCUGUCUGUCCGUGUCUGCACGCCGUGCAUUCCUGUGAGAAACGAAAAACAAACACCCGAAAUCCGCAACGGGCAGUUGUCAACGUCUUCUUUCUCAUUUUUUCGCUUGCUUGCUGUUUUUGUUUUGUUUUGUUGGCUUUUGUUGUGGCUCAGCGUGUGUCCUCCUCAGCCCUCUCCCUCCGCUUUCAAGCGCGUAGGGCGACCUUUGAACCUCCCUUGUGGCCCACGUGCUCGCUGCGGAAUCCCUCCCUCUCUCCGCUCGUGCACAUUUGCAGUGGUUUCUGGGGGUGUGGAGGUGCUGUUGCACUUGUGUCUCCUUCUUUCCCUGCCACAUCGUCUCUGCGUGUGUGUGUGUGUGUGUGUGUGCACGUGUGCGGCAGUGCUUGCAGCAUUGUGGCGCCUUGGCAUCUAUUUCUUCGUCGUGUGGUGCUCGCACUCGUGCGCGUGACGUUCUGCUUGGCUCUCUUGCGUUCCUUGUAUUCUCUGCAUAUCGGUGUGUCUGUGUGUGUGUGUGUGUGUCUCUUCCUUCGCCUCCUCUCCUCCUCAGUCCCUUUGCUGUUCUUAUCGGGGGAGGUGUAGGAUAUCUCUCUCGUCUCUCCUCGGCCUCACCUUUUCGUUGUUCUUUCUGCUUCUCGCGGCCUUCCGCCCUCUUCUCUUGCCCUCGUCGUCGUCAUCUUUCCCUCUGUUUUCGCCCCGCCACCCGCCCACCCUCACCUCUCCUUUUUCUUUUUAGCAGUAGACUCCAACAUUGCUCGCCUUGAGCUCCGUGGUUCAUCUUCUUUGCUUCUUGGUGUUGUGCGUCUCUCUGUGAGUGUGCCACCUGGCGUGAGCGCUGUUGUGUACCUAAUAGUUUUUUUCUCUUUUUCGUCGUCGUCGUCGUCGUCGUCGUUGGGGGUGGGUGCUUCCCCUUGAUUUGCCCUUCUCUUCGUCUGUCUCUCCUCCCCACCCCCACCCUCCACACACCGCCUUACCCGCACCCUCUCUCAUCUCGUGUGCGUGUGCGCCUCAUCCUCCAGCUUCCCUACCGAGCGUAACUUGCGUCGCCUACCCAUCGCAUCUGUAGUUGUUCUUCAACGCCUCCAGGCCCUCCACUCCCGUUGCCCCUCCCCCUCCUCAUCCGCCGCCUUUUUCGGUUUUGUCUGCCUGCUUGAUAUCUGCGGAGCACACCUACGUGUUGUUGCACAACUCUUCUGCGUGCGUUUCGCUUUUUCUCGUGACGGUGGGCGUUUCAUACUUUUUUUUCUUUCGUCGGUCAUUUUUUCUUUUGAUUUGACUGCAGUGCAAUAUUGCCUCUGGCGUGUGUGGGUUUGCUGUGUCGCUGUCCCUCUUCUUCUUCCGCUGUUACCCCUCACCCAACCACGCCGCCAGCCCCCUGCAGAGCCCUCCACACCUCCCGUCCGUCCCAACCUAGCCCUCGCUCUGUCGAAUCCUCUACGGGCAUCGAAAAGAGCAGCAUGCACCCCGCACAGAGCUCUUCGUCCCCGGCAGCGAAGGUGCCUGCCGCCCGCACAAACUCGACGCCCACGUUUUGGCCGUCGACGAACUCUACGACUGGUCCGCGUCUCUUCACGCAUUCGCCGUACCUCACGACGGGUAACAUUAUUGUCAGCGAGGAUCUCGACGCCGUAGAAUUUGUAGCGUUGGGCGGUGUGGAUGGACAGCGCAGCAACCAAGGGUCACCCAUCACCAGCGGGCCCCACCAAGGCGGCUCGAGUUUCAAUGCCAGCAGCAACAGUGCAAACCAGCUGCAUAGCCCGCAUGGCUACUCCAACGGCAAGAAGAACGUCUGUCGGCACUUUAUAAACGGCAACUGCAAUCGCGGCAGCUCUUGCCGUUUCUAUCACCCGGGGCCGAUUCACCGCGUCAUCACGCCAACGCGCCCGCGCACCCCGACUCAGCGACCGCUGACUCCGCUGGCGGACCUGGCUCAGCAUAACAGCGCCUCUGCGGCCCAGUCCCCAGCGCACAGCCCCCACAUCAGGCCGACAAGUGUGCUACUGUUCUCGUCUCCGCGGCAGUCGCUGAAGCUGAACAGCGGAGGUGGAAGUGCGCGCAGCAACCCUGAGUCCUUCGCCUCUCCGCUCAGUUCUCCCUCCACCUCUGUCUCUGCUCAGCGCAGCGCCGCAUUUGCCGAGAGCCCGGCGCACGUCGUGGCGACAGCACCGGCUCUCUCUAGCCCUUCCUUUGGUCCGCAGUUUAGCCUUGGAAGCUCACUCGGUGCUCGGGCGCGCUGUUGGCCCGGUGCCAACCCGUUGCCCUCCCUGCAGCUACCGGAAUACCUGCCAAACGGUAUCGACGACGGCACAGCGGAAGCCUGCAUCUCCGCCACUGGCGCGGGCAUGGGGCCACUUAGUAGGCCGCACAGUCCGUCCUCUCCAGGUCCGUACAGGCUGCCAGUGUACUGCGCAGGGGUGCAGCUGGGAGCAAGCAGCAACAGCGGCCGCGGAGAGAGAAGAGCAGCGCUUGCCAGCCCGCACCACCACAGGGUUCCCGGCAGCAGGUUUCCAGCUGCGUCAAGCAAAACAGUCACGUCCCCCAGGCGUGGUGGCGUGACGCGCAACAACCCCUACGCCUACUCGCCGACACGGGUGCGGCCGCAGCUCAGUCAACCCAUGAGCCCGCUAAAGCGCACGGCGAAUGAGCCAGAGUGAAGGAACAGCAGCUGAACGAAAGGCCGGUGCUGUUAUCGGGACGCCUUUCUCCUCUUGUUUUCGAAACCUCCCGCGAUGCCUGCCUCGCUCCCUCAGCCCCCCGAAGCGGCUCUUCUGCCUGAACACUUUGCCCUGUUCUACUCUGGUUUUCACCAGCCAGCGCAGCUCACGUCCAUUGUGCUCUCCUGUGAACACCUCUGCAUCGGCCCUCCUCCAAGCGGCCUUCUUCUUUUUUUUUUCGGGGGAGGGGGAUUUUGCGUGUCACUGCGUGUGUGUGCGAGUUACGUACGUAUUGGCCUUCUUGCUGGUUGCUCCCCCCUCUAGGGGGGUGGGGGACGGCGAAGUGGCACCUGCAGGUAUUCCUGUGUGUUUUUACGUGUAUUCUUGCGCAUGUGUGUGUAUGUGUGUGCAUUUCCUUUCUCCAGGCCCUUUUUUUUUCAUCAGCUGUACUUAUGAACCGCUCAACUCUCUCCCUCUCCAUCCGGCCUUCUCCUUCUCGUUCCUCCACCUCUUUUUGCUCUCUCUCUCCCCCACACACACGCACACUCUCCAUAUGUGUUCUCCGCAUGUUUUCUCCUCUGACCCGCGACCUCCUGCUGUUUCGUAUGCCUUCGUUCAGUUUCCUUGCUUCUCAGCUCCCUCUUCUCCCUCAUAUGCGCCUGAGCCCCCAUGCGUCUGCACGGGCUCCUUUUUCGUUCCUUGUCGCUUUUUCCUCAAAUAUGACGGCACGAACCUGCCGCGUGCUUUCUUUGGUUUUUUUUUGAUCCCUCUUCUCCCUUGGUUAUGCCGGCCACCUCAGUGUGGUAUCAGGGUCUAGCGCUCCCGUUGUGGAGAAGCCAAGCAGCUUGGACAGCCUGCCCUCGGGCACGGCUUCGGACUCGUGGUGUUGGAGAAGAGAGCUGUGCCGAAGAGGCUUGCGGUCACGAUAACGCUUGGACCAGCUGACGGCGAAUCUUGCCGACGAUUCGACAGUUGCACGCAUCCGCCGCCUGUUUUUAUGCGUUAGGUGCGCCGCGGCGGUGAUGCGGGACUCAAACCGGAACCCAGCCGGCGCUGUCUGCCGUGGAAUCGCAGCGGGCCUGAACGACGCCCAGCAGUCUUGGUUGGCCCCGUUCCUUGAUGUAACCGUAGCGCAGACGAGGUAGGCGCAUAGCCGCGGGCUUGUGCGCGUCUGUUUCUCGAUUUGUUCACGGUAGAAUAAGGUCAUAGCAAAGAGAAACAUGUUAAAGUCCUUUUUCCAUUCUGCCGAUUCAGUCUCUUCCCUCCCCCGUCCCCCGUCCCCUACACUCAUCCUGUGAGUGGAGCACCACGCGCACAGACACACAGCAGAAACAGAGACUGAUCUCUAUAGGUGUGUCGCUUCGAUUGUGGUGAACUCGUGAGCGAGCACCAGAGCACACCCCAUCCCGCGCUGCCUCGCUCGCUCGCUCUCUCCCCUUCUGUCCGAAAACGCUGUGCUGUGCCUUCACCCCUUACCCCGGAAGCCGGCAUGCUUUUUUUGUUGUUGUUGUUGUUCUUGCCGUGCCUGCUUGCCGAGGGCCAUGUGGCCAGGAAGAAGACGAGACACGUCUGAACGCCCCGUCUUCCCCAUUUUCCGUUUUGCGGUUGUUGUGCACUUUGCUUGAUCGGCGCUUUUCGGUGGCCCCCUUACAUCUUUCCGGCAGCGCCCCCUCCCCCCCCUCACUCCUGCCUCCCUGCCUCCCUCUCCCCUCCCCGUACCGGUUGGUUACUUUCUGGGUUUCUUUUUCUCUGUCGUUGUUCUUCAUGGAGGAUGUAAUGCGUCGGGUUAUCCUUCUGCAUGCUUUCAGGCACGCGUGCGUUUGUGUGUGUGUGGGGGGGGGGGGGGGGGCAGCCGUGCUAUGCUUCGCUGUCUGCCUUCCUCUUUUGUUUUCCACUGCAGCGCGUGUGUAUGUGCGUGCGUAUGUGUAUACGCGCGUCUGGAAAGCGCGAAUCGCUCGAGUUAUCGGCCGUUGUGCGUGGGCUUUGGAGCCGAGGAACUCUCGCUGCCUCUCUGUAUUUGUGUAGAAGAGGUUUGGUGCGAAGUGGCGGAACUCUUUUCCUGUCUUGCAUUCUUUCUCCUUUCGUGUGCCGCCGGGCAGGCGCACGAGCACGCGAGCGGAGUAUCGAGACGAGACGAAACGGACAACAGAGGCAGGAAAGGAAUGAGAGCCGACAGAAGAAGGCGUGUCUUUUUUUUUUGCCUUUGCCGUUCCUGUUCUACAACUCUCGCCCGCCACCCCGUCCCCUCCCGUCGUCGUCAACGGUGGUGUGUUCCCCUGACUUCCUUUGUGUGUUUUGUUGCUUGUGCGCCCCUUCGUCUAUAUAGCACACAGAGUCGGUUACGGCUAUGCUUACUGUCUUUCUGCAUUUUCCUUGUUAUGUUGCUUCUAGGUGGUGAUGGGCGUGGUCAUGGACUCUUCUCACCGCGGUGCGCCAUAGGCUGAUUGCUGUUUCUCUUGUUUCUGCCUUUAUGUGUGUGCGUGUGUGUGUGUGUGUGUGUCGUCGUCGUCGUCGUUGGUCGUUGUGCGCUUGUUUGCGCCUGGGCGUCCAAAUGUGCCCGUCUUUUUUUCUUUUCUCUCCGCACGCCGCACGUGGUGAUGCGUGUUCUCCCCUCUCCUCUUGCUUCUUUUUUUCGUUUCGCUCUCUAUCGGAACUUCAUGCGCGUCAGCGGGACGGUGCACACGCGUGAAGGCAGUGCAUCGUCAUCGUCCUGCGAAAGAAUGGAUGCUCAGAGGGGAGUGGUAUAUAGUUGCGCAUGUGUAUCUGUGUCUUUCGGACACAGGAUCACAAGCUAAUCAGUUAUGGAAGCAACGCACUCCCAUCUCGGUCAAG
RNAcentral lists this unclassified non-coding RNA (8926 nucleotides) under Leishmania donovani. RNAcentral describes it as "gene:LdHU3.28.1950(CDS-product:hypothetical_prote in_conserved)". Lineage: Eukaryota; Euglenozoa; Kinetoplastea; Trypanosomatida; Trypanosomatidae. The record is from RNAcentral.